This 253-nucleotide ribosomal RNA is filed under the name uncultured bacterium. Its description in RNAcentral is "partial 16S ribosomal RNA". It matches the Rfam family "Bacterial small subunit ribosomal RNA", at positions 524 to 776 of the family's 1533-position model. The record is from RNAcentral.
UACGAAGGGGACUAGCGUUGUUCGGAAUCACUGGGCGUAAAGCGCACGUAGGCGGAUUUGUAAGUCAGGGGUGAAAUCCUGGAGCUCAACUCCAGAACUGCCUUUGAUACUGGCGACCUUGAGUCCGGGAGAGGUGAGUGGAACUGCGAGUGUAGAGGUGAAAUUCGUAGAUAUUCGCAAGAACACCAGUGGCGAAGGCGGCUCACUGGCCCGGUACUGACGCUGAGGUGCGAAAGCGUGGGGAGCAAACAGG